Molecule: ribosomal RNA, 112 nt
Filed under: Caerostris darwini
Lineage: Eukaryota; Metazoa; Arthropoda; Arachnida; Araneae; Araneidae
Source: RNAcentral
AACGGCCGUACCAUGCUGAAUAUACCGGUUCUCGUUAGAUCACCGAAGUUAAGCAUCAUUGGGCGCGGUCAGUACUUGGGUGGGUGGCCACCUGGGAACACUGCGUGCCGUU